This 440-nucleotide ribosomal RNA is filed under the name uncultured bacterium. RNAcentral's name for it is "partial 16S ribosomal RNA". It matches the Rfam family "Bacterial small subunit ribosomal RNA", at positions 338 to 795 of the family's 1533-position model. The record is from RNAcentral.
CCUACGGGUGGCAGCAGUAGGGAAUAUUGCUCAAUGGGGGAAACACUGAAGCAGCAACGCCUCGCGGAGGUUGAAGGUUCUCGGAUUGUAAACUCCUUCUGUUAGAGAAGAUACUGACGGUAUCUAACGAAUAAGCACCGGCUAACUCCGUGCCAGCAGCCGCGGUGAUACGGAGGGUGCAAGCGUUACUCGGAAUCACUCGGCGUAAAGAGCGCGGAGGCGGGAUAGCAAGUCAGAUGUGAAAUCCUAUGGCUUAACCAUAGAACUGCAUUUGAAACUGUUAUUCUAGAGUAUGGGAGAGGUAGGUGGAAUGCUUGGUGUAGGGGUAAAAUCCGUAGAGAUCAAGCGGAAUACUCAUUGCGAAGGCGACCUGCUAGAACAUAACUGACGCUGAUGCGCGAAAGCGUGGGGAGCGAACAGGAUUAGAUACCCGAGUAGUC